This 386-nucleotide ribosomal RNA is filed under the name uncultured microorganism. RNAcentral describes it as "bacterial SSU rRNA". It matches the Rfam family "Archaeal small subunit ribosomal RNA", at positions 330 to 718 of the family's 1478-position model. The record is from RNAcentral.
GCGCAGCAGGCGAGAAACCUCCCCAAUGCCCGAAAGGGUGAGGGGGUCACCCCGAGUGCCACCCUCGUGGUGGCUUUUGCGGGGUCUAAAAAGCCCCGCGAAUAAGGGGAGGGCAAGACGGGUGUCAGCCGCCGCGGUAAUACCCGCUCCCCGAGUGGUGGGGACUAUUACUGGGCUUAAAGCGUCCGUAGCCGGCUGGGUGUGUCCCCCGUUAAAUCCACGGGCCUAACCCGUGGGCUGCGGGGGAUACUACCUGGCUUGGGGGUGGGAGAGGGCGGCGGUAUUCCCGGGGUAGGGGUAAAAUCCUCUGAUCCCGGGGAGGGACCACCAGUGGCGAAGGCGGCCGCCCAGAACACGCCCGACGGUGAGGGACGAAAGCUGGGGGA